CACCUCUCCUGGACCCUGUAACCUAUCCCUUUACUUGUUCUCGCGGCCAACAAGAAAGCCCCACCACAGACUUCCCUAGCUUACCAGUGCUCAUCAGGCAGUGAAUGAACACACAGAUCACUGCUCUCCGCCCCACCAGCUCCCGUUCCAGAGGACACGGCCAGUGAGACCACGUGGGAGCCACGGGAGGAUAGCAGAGUACCAGUGGACAGAUGUGGGAAGAUGAGGCACCCCAGAGCGUGGAGCAGAAAUUGUCUGCUGGAUGUGUCAACACCCUGUGCUAUGUCUAAGUUCCUGUGACUGUACCUGCUCUUACCCUCGGAUAUCUAUAUCCCUUGCCCAGCUGUGUAAUCAUUUAUAAUAAAAAUUUAAAAAGCAUCUUUGAAU
This is a long non-coding RNA of Peromyscus leucopus (white-footed mouse), 387 nucleotides long. RefSeq lists it as uncharacterized. The transcript has 3 exons. The record is from RefSeq and is a predicted model, not a curated record. NCBI's taxonomy places the organism in Eukaryota, Metazoa, Chordata, Mammalia, Rodentia, Cricetidae.